Molecule: ribosomal RNA, 497 nt
Filed under: uncultured bacterium
Lineage: Bacteria
Description: partial 16S ribosomal RNA
Rfam family: Bacterial small subunit ribosomal RNA
Source: RNAcentral
GAUGAACGCUGGCGGCGUGCCUAAUACAUGCAAGUCGAGCGAACAGACGAGGAGCUUGCUCCUUUGACGUUAGCGGCGGACGGGUGAGUAACACGUGGGUAACCUACCUAUAAGACUGGGAUAACUUCGGGAAACCGGAGCUAAUACCGGAUAAUAUUUCGAACCGCAUGGUUCGAUAGUGAAAGAUGGCUUUGCUAUCACUUAUUGAUGGACCUGCGCCGUAUUAGCUAGUUGGUAAGGUAACGGCUUACCAAGGCAACGAUACGUAGCCGACCUGAGAGGGUGAUCGGCCACACUGGAACUGAGACACGGUCCAGACUCCUACGGGAGGCAGCAGUAGGGAAUCUUCCGCAAUGGGCGAAAGCCUGACGGAGCAACGCCGCGUGAGUGAUGAAGGUCUUCGGAUCGUAAAACUCUGUUAUUAGGGAAGAACAAACGUGUAAGUAACUGUGCACGUCUUGACGGUACCUAAUCAGAAAGCCACGGCUAACUACGUG